This 460-nucleotide ribosomal RNA is filed under the name uncultured bacterium. RNAcentral describes it as "partial 16S ribosomal RNA". It matches the Rfam family "Bacterial small subunit ribosomal RNA", at positions 338 to 795 of the family's 1533-position model. The record is from RNAcentral.
CCUACGGGCGGCUGCAGUGAGGAAUAUUGGUCAAUGGGCGCGAGCCUGAACCAGCCAAGUCGCGUGAGGGAAGACGGCCCUACGGGUUGUAAACCUCUUUUGCCGGGGAGCAACGGGCGCCACGUGUGGCGCCACUGAGAGUACCCGGCGAAAAAGCAUCGGCUAACUCCGUGACAGCAGCCGCGGUCAUACGGAGGAUGCGAGCGUUAUGCGGAUUUAUUGGGUUUAAAGAGUGCGUAGGCGGUGCGUUAAGUCAGUGGUCAAAUGUGGGGGCUCAACCCCUUCCCGCCAUUGAAACUGGCGCUCUUGAGUGGAAGAGAAGUAUGCGGAAUGCGUGGUGUAGCGGUGAAAUGCAUAGAUAUCACGCAGAACCCCGAUUGCGAAGGCAGCAUGCCGGCUUCCUACUGACGCUGAUGCACGAAAGCGUGGGGAUCGAACAGGAUUAGAUACCCCAGUAGUC